Paramisgurnus dabryanus is the source of this 1038-nucleotide long non-coding RNA. RefSeq lists it as uncharacterized. NCBI's taxonomy places the organism in Eukaryota, Metazoa, Chordata, Actinopteri, Cypriniformes, Cobitidae. The record is from RefSeq and is a predicted model, not a curated record.
CCCGCCAUUAAACCAAAAGAAGAAGAAGAAGAUUGUAACGUCAGCUCAUCGUAAGCAUUAGAUUAUUCACCCAGUGUUUAUUCACAAGAUUGACCAAAUCUUAUUUAGAUGACCAAAUUAUGAACAAUGACCCACCCUGAGGCUGUAAGAGUGUGCCUGAUGAGAGAAUGCGUACUUGAAGCAGUUAUAGGACUUAAUAUAUUCAAGAAGACCAAGCGAUCCUUAUAGGACUACAUGCAAAGCAAUGUACUCCAGACCGCACAACUGGACAUACAGAUUGUGCCCUGAUGCCAUCUGCCCCGUUCUCCCAGCCUCAUCUUCCCUCUCUAUGCCUAGCUUCACAUCGAUUGGCUCUUCUUUGGCUCCCCUCAUCCCGUCUGCCUGCCUCGCUGCUCUCCCUGAUAACAUUUCCUGACUGAUGCCUUGCACUCUGACUCUUUCUGCAAGGUGCCAUUCUCAGCAGUGACUCAAUUUAGUGCCACCCUGCUGCUUGGCAUUGCACUUCUGAGGUCAUCACCAUCUUUCUUCAGCCAACCAAAAUGAUUCUCACCAACCACCCCAGCUCUGCUAAGCUUGAUGUUGGAGGUCUGCUGUUUUUGAAGCAGGGGACCACUGUCCAUUAAAGGCUUCAUAAACCAUUUUACAAAAUCACAUAAGAUAGGGUAGUUCAUACUCCAUGCGAUGUGCCAUACAAUGGAAGGGCCAUGUUCCUUAUCACAUCUGGAUACUGCAAAGCUCCUGUCUCCUCAACAAUUUACGAACUAAUCAAUUAUUAAAUGAAGAAAUGCUAUGUAAAUGCAAAGAUAUUUCUUCCUGUGGAAUUUGAGUCUUAAAUUUAGUAAUUACUGUUUUAUGGCAUAAAUAAAAGUUAAAUAUUAUAUUAUUUUAAAAGCAUCAUGUAUCUUUUUUCAUUCCUAAUGUAUUCUACUAGUAGUGUGUCAGGCACUUUAACCCUUAUGAAAAAAGCCAAGGAAAAUAGAGAGCAUCAUAUCAAAACAACUGUUUAUUUGCACAUGCAACAUUAAACUAUGGUAUACA